RNAcentral lists this ribosomal RNA (1292 nucleotides) under Hemidinium nasutum. Its description in RNAcentral is "eukaryotic LSU rRNA". It matches the Rfam family "Eukaryotic large subunit ribosomal RNA", at positions 78 to 1363 of the family's 3401-position model. Lineage: Eukaryota; Dinophyceae; Suessiales; Hemidiniaceae. The record is from RNAcentral.
CCUCAGUAAUGGCGAAUGAAGUAGGAUGAGCUCAUAUGAUAAUCGUGCCCUGCAGGCAUGAGUUGUGGUCUUGGGAGGUACUGCCCGCAGCAGCUCAGAGGUUUGCCUCUUGAAAGAGAGCGCUGGCGAAGGUGAUUGCCCUACGUCCUUUGAUGCCUGCUGCACCCGGCGUACUCUCCACGAGUCACGUUCCUUGGGAGUGGAGCGCUAAGUGGGUGGUAGACUUCAUCUAAAGCUAAAUUGUUGCUCGGGACCGAUAGCACACAAGUACCAUGAGGGAAAGGUGACAAGGACUUUGGAAAGAGAGUGAAAAGUGCCUGAAAUUGCUGGAAGGGAAGCGGAUGAAAUCAGAUGUGCUUGUGAGAUUGUCCGGCAGUCAGGGAGGUUGUUGCCACCUGUUGGUGACAGCACCACCCGCCGUGCAGGAUGUUUCUUGCUGCUUAUGUUGGUGCAUACCCAUCAUUGGCAAUCUUGCUUGGUGUCACGUCAGCAUUCUUUCUAGCUUGCGGGUGCAUCUUGACAAGAAAAAGGUGGGUUGUUCGUGAUCGUGUCCAAAGCUGUGGCUGGAGACACUAUCCAACACAAUGGUUUCUUCCGACCCGUCUUGAAACACGGACCAAGGAGUCUAACAUGUGUGCAAAGCUGCAGGAACAACACCGAGCCGCAACUAACGUGAUCAUUGGGAUAGUUGCACCAAUCAUCAACCAAUCAACUGCGAGAGGUUUGCAUGUGAGCAUACGUGUUAGGACCCGAAAGAUGGUGAACUAUGCCUGAGAAUGGCAAACUCAGGGGAAACUCUGAUGGAGGCUCGUAGCGGUACUGACGUGCAAAUCGUUCGUCUCACUUGGGUAUAGGGGCGAAAGACUAAUCGAACCAUCUAGUAGCUGGUUCCCUCCGAAGUUUCCCUCAGGAUAGCUGGAGCUGAGCAGCUUUGUCAGGUAAAGCAAAUGAUUAGAGGAAUCGGGGGCAUGCCGCCCUCGACCUAUUCUCAAACUUUAAAUAGGCAAGGUCCAGUGGUUGCUUGCGUGAACCUUUGGUGUCAGUGAGAGUUCCAAGUGGGCCAUUUUUGGUAAGCAGAACUGGCGAUGAGGGAUGAACCUAACGUUGGGUUAAGGUGCUUCAAUGCCCGCUCAUCAGAUACCAUGAAGGGUGUUGGUUCAUUUUAACAGCAGGACGGUGGUCAUGGAAGUCGAAAUCCGCUAAGGAGUGUGUAACAACUCACCUGCCGAAUGGACUAGCCCCGAAAAUGGAUGGCGCUCAAACGGGUGACCGAUACCUAACCGCCGGCACAA